CCCUAGCCCCGGUAGCAGUGAAAACCCCAUGCAGGUCGAAAACCACUUUUACUGGUAGUGGCAGAGCGACCGCAGGAAGCUCCUGCCAGUGCCUAGUAAAAGGGUUUGAGACCAAAUGGGUUGUAGCGAAUAACGGGAAAAGCU
RNAcentral lists this unclassified non-coding RNA (144 nucleotides) under Flavobacterium frigoris. Its description in RNAcentral is "Flavo-1 RNA". The record is from RNAcentral. Lineage: Bacteria; Pseudomonadati; Bacteroidota; Flavobacteriia; Flavobacteriales; Flavobacteriaceae.